RNAcentral lists this ribosomal RNA (405 nucleotides) under uncultured bacterium. RNAcentral's name for it is "partial 16S ribosomal RNA". It matches the Rfam family "Bacterial small subunit ribosomal RNA", at positions 30 to 526 of the family's 1533-position model. The record is from RNAcentral.
AUUGAACGCUGGCGGCAGGCUUAACACAUGCAAGUCGAACGAGUGGCGUAAGGGUGAGUAAUGCUUGGGAAUCUAGCUUAUGGAGGGGGAUGACUACGGGAAACUGUAGCUAAUACCGCGUCCCAUAGGAUGGGCCAAAUGGGGUUUGGGUAGUUGGUGAGGUAAAGGCGCGCCAAGCCGACGAUCGCUAUCUGGUCUGAGAGGAUGACCGUCCACACUGGGACUGAGACACGGCCCAGACUCCUACGGGAGGCAGCAUUGGGGAAUAUUGCGCAAUGGGGGCAACCUGACGCAGCCAUGCCGCGUGAAUGAAGAAGGCCUUCGGGUUGUAAAGUUCUUUCGGUAGCGAGGCGUUAACUACAGAAGAAGCACCGGCUAACUCCGUGCCAGCAGCCGCGGUAAUAC